CGUUUUGGAAUACGGAACACAAGAAGACUUCCUCAGGCACUGCCUGUCUGGACCACAGUGUAGGACGCGCGAAUCUGCAGCUAGGGGGAUUCUGUGAUCACAAAGAACCCGGUGCUCAGAUUGCCUGUAUCUGGAGGGAACUCACCUGAAGGAAAAGCAACCGUGCUUUCCACAGACUCCAAAUCAUCCUCACCUCGCCGAAAGCAGGGCGACUUUCCCCAUAGAAACAGAAGUGAGUGUUUAAGGCAGAAGAUAGGGGGCGUGAAUGCGAUCACGUGACAUUACACACUCUGAAACCCAAACGGGGGAAACUGGGGGAGGGCAGGCCGGGAGAGCGGCGGGGAGGAAAGUGAAAGCAGGUUCUGAGCAUCUCAGCAUGAAGCCCAUUAAUCUGUAGAGCCGCGACGCUCAAAUUUAAAAAGGCAGAGGGAAAAAGAGGGCAAAGUCGUGCAGAGUUCAAACUUCACAAGGCCGGGGGUCUUGUUCACACAUUGUGCAACCCUCACCCACAGGGCCCAGAGCAGGUGGCACAGCCUGAGGGGGACUGAGGCCUGCAAAGUGACUCAGAAAAAGAACUGGUGUGAACCCUGCUAGAUCUGUAGCGCUGGUGGUGCGGGGGGGAAAACGGGAGAGGAGGAAAGAUGUGGUGAGUGGAAGAAGAGGAAACCCUUCCUGGAACAGAUCCCCAGGGUACAAGCCCAGCUGCCUGCGGUUUGCCCGCCCGUGGAAUCAGAUCAAUUGCUUCACCGCCGGCUUCCCUCUCCCUCCCCCUCCUCUCUGAGGAUUGAACCCACAGGGCUCUGCAUUUCUCUUCUUAAGAAGUAGAAAAUCUCAGCUCUUUCAGGAUCAAUCAUGGAGCUUUCCAAGGGCAUAUUUUUCAGCACUGAGGGAAGUCGUCCCAGAGUAUUUCAUUUCCAGGUAAGGGUGACCACUAGGUUUUUCCUCAUCCAAUAUGUUCUCAGUAGCUCCUCCAGUCGUCUAAAUGUGGACUUGAAGAACAUCAGCCACAGGCCAAUUUACAACCCUUCCACAAGGGUUUAAAUUCUGUGGCCUUCCCUCUAAUAUACGGUUGUAUUCAAAUUGCUGCCUAUUUGCUUUAAAUCACUGAGACUAAUUUUCUUCUUUUUCAAAUUAAAAACCAUCCUACUUGAUAGUUUUUUAUCCUUCUGCCUCAAAUAGUAAAAAAUUAAGAUCUUUGUAAACCAUACAAUACAGGAUACUAAAAGGUGCAGAAAUGCAAACAAGGAGACAUUUUGGAAAUUUUAGGUUCUGGAUUCUCGAGAUGAGAGGGAGGCAUUUCCAUUAUCUCUGUUGGGCUCCUCAAGAGAGUUGCAUGUUCUGAUGCUUGAAGGUGACGUAACCAGCUUCUGGUGACACUCAGGCCUGGCACUGCCAACCGUGUGAACUACAGCCUUCUCCUUAUUAACCACGAUCAUCACUGACUGCUCAAGGAAGAGCCUGGGGUUUGACUCCCCAAGGGGACACUGUGACUACCAGCACAGAGCUGCCUGCCCAGCUGGGCUGCUGACUGAUGGGAAGAGGGGGCUGCAGCCUGGGAAGGUCAAGGGGGAGAAAAAGCCCAGCUCUCACCUGGAUGGACACAGGCUUUCUGUCAGGCCUCCUACUUUGCAUGUUUUUCCUCUUUCCCUGCACGGUUAGGACUCCAGCAGGAGACUGAAAGAAGAACUGGCAGGUGUAACAUCACAUCUUCAUCUCAGUAUCAUAGGGAAAACUCUGUAUUUUUUCGUAUUUUGCCUUCACACUAUAGAUGUUUUAAGAAUACACUUUUAUCAGGUUA
Molecule: non-coding RNA, 1798 nt
Organism: Heterocephalus glaber (naked mole-rat)
Lineage: Eukaryota; Metazoa; Chordata; Mammalia; Rodentia; Bathyergidae
Source: RefSeq, a predicted model, not a curated record